Molecule: long non-coding RNA, 467 nt
Filed under: Mytilus galloprovincialis (Mediterranean mussel)
Lineage: Eukaryota; Metazoa; Mollusca; Bivalvia; Mytilida; Mytilidae
Source: RNAcentral
CGCUAAACCUCUCACUUUUUUCAAUAGUCUCCAAGGAUGCCUUGGGUGGCUGUUUCCCCAAUUCAGGGACUUGGGGAUCACGGCGGUAUUUAUUCCCCACCUUUGCAAUUGUUGUUGUUAUUCAGUUUUGUUUUACAACAUAAUUGUCCAUCACUGUCUGUUGUAUAAUGCUUUAAGAUAUUCUGAAUCAAUGACAUUUUCAGUGGCAGAUCCAGAAAAAGUGAGGCAAAUUGACAGCCUAAGAGGGGGCCUGCUCCGGUGAUGCUUCAGUGCAUGAUUCUUUAAAUAAUCAACCAUAUUUUCCCAGAAAAAGGGGGGGGGGUCUAGGCCCCCUACCCCCUCUAAAUCCAUCUCUGCUUUUUCACAAAUCUUAAAUUAGAUAUUCUGCAAAUGAACUCGCAUGAAUUCUUGGUAUCAAUUUUCAUGUCUUUUUUGGUCAUGAAGAAAAAUUAUAGCUGACAAAAAAG